This 697-nucleotide unclassified non-coding RNA is filed under the name Hevea brasiliensis (rubber tree). Lineage: Eukaryota; Viridiplantae; Streptophyta; Magnoliopsida; Malpighiales; Euphorbiaceae. The record is from RNAcentral.
GCUGCUUCAAAUCCGAAGUGGUGGAUUGAAGAGAAGUGGUUUAGAUAAUGGCGAAUUAAACAAACUAAUAAAAAUGUAGAUCCAAUUAUUACGUGAAGUCCGUGGAAUCCGGUACAAAUAAAAAAUGAGGACCCAUACACUGAAUCUGAGAUUGUAAAUGGUGCUUCGUAGUACUCAUAAGCUUGAAGAAUUGUAAAAUAAAUUCCUAGUAAAACUGUUAGUCUUAAUCCUUGAAGAGUUUGAGUAAAAUUAUUUUCUAUUAAUCUAUGAUGGGCUCAAGUAACAGUUAGUCCGGAUGUUAAUAAGAUGAUAGUAUUUAAGAGAGGGAUUUCUAUGGGAUUAAAAGGUUGAAUUCUUUUAGGAGGUCAAUUUAUGCCUAAAUCAAUACUUGGUCUUAAGGAGUUAUGGAAAAAUCUUCAAAAAAAUGAUACAAAGAAUAAGACUUCUGAUGUAAUAAAUAAGAUUAUUCCCCAUCGAAGACCUAUAGUUACUUUUCAGGUAUGAUAUCCUAGAAAUGUUCCUUCACGUACAAUAUCACGUCAUCAUUGAAAUAUAACUAAUAAUAUGAUUGUGUUUCCUAAAAAAAAUAAAUUUUUUUCAUAAAGAUGGAAUCAUUUAAUUAUUCCUAUUAUAGUUGUUAUAGUACCUAGAGAUCCUAGGAUAGGUCAGGGUCUUACAUCUACUAAGUGGUAGGGAU